CCUACGGGAGGCUGCAGUGAGGAAUAUUGGUCAAUGGCCGGAAGGCUGAACCAGCCAAGCCGCGUGAGUGAGGAAGGCGCAGAUCGUCGCAGACCUCUUCUGCCGGGGGACAAAAGGCAGGACUCGUACGUUCCUGCGGGUACCCGGCGCAAAAGCAUCGGCUAACUCCGUGCCAGAAGCCGCGGUACACGGAGGCAUGCGAUCGUUACCCGGAUUCAUUGGGGUUAAUGGGUGCGAGGUCGGGCCUUUAAGCCGGGGUGGAAGUCGCGGCCCUAAACCCCGCCGAGCCGGCGGAACUGGAGGCCUUGAGUGCGGCAGAGGGAGGCGGAAUGCGAGGGGUAGCGGUGAAAUGCAUAGAUAGCGCGCAGAACACCGAUUGCGAAGGCAGCG
RNAcentral lists this ribosomal RNA (390 nucleotides) under uncultured bacterium. Its description in RNAcentral is "partial 16S ribosomal RNA". It matches the Rfam family "Bacterial small subunit ribosomal RNA", at positions 338 to 726 of the family's 1533-position model. The record is from RNAcentral.